This 239-nucleotide ribosomal RNA is filed under the name uncultured bacterium. RNAcentral's name for it is "partial 16S ribosomal RNA". It matches the Rfam family "Bacterial small subunit ribosomal RNA", at positions 106 to 339 of the family's 1533-position model. The record is from RNAcentral.
GUGAGUAACACGUAGAUAAUCUGCCUUUGGAUUGGGGAUAGCAUAUGGAAACAUGUGGUAAUACCGAAUAAGCUCCUGACAACGCAAGUUGACUGGAGGAAAGGUGCUUAGGCACCGUCCGAAGAUGAGUCUGCGGUUCAUUAGCUAGUUGGUGGGGUAAAGGCCUACCAAGGCGACGAUGAAUAGCCGGCCUGAGAGGGUGGACGGCCACACUGGGACUGAGACACGGCCCAGACUCC